UCAAUAACUAAUAAUUUUGUAGCUUCUGUUUCCAGUCGGCUGCCAAAACUCACCUCAUAAAACUCGAGCGUAUCCAAUACCGUUGUCUUCGCAUCGCUUUGGGCUGUAUGCCCUCUACGCACAACAUGAGUCUUGAAGUUUUGGCAGGAAUACUCCCUUUGAAAGAUCGAUUCAAUCUACUGUCACUCCGGUUCCUCAUUAGGUGUGAGGUCAUGAACCCAUUGGUGAUCGUUAAUUUUGAAAGGUUACUUGAGCAAAAUUUUCAUACAAGAUUUAUGUCUAUAUACCAUGUCCUCAUGUCAAUGCAGGUAAACCCUUCUUCGUAUUCUCCAGCUCGUGUUUGUAGCCCAGACUACGAUAAUUCUUCUGUCCAGUUUGAUUUGUCUAUGCAGCAGGAAAUUCGUGGAAUCCCGGAUCCGCAUCGUCCACUUCUGAUUCCAAGAAUUUUCGAAGCUAAAUAUAGACACGUCGAUGCUGAUAAAUUGUACUUUACUGAUGGAUCACUUAUAGAGGAAUCAACAGGAUUUGGAGUGGUCGGUGGCUGCACUCGAUUAUCCCAAGGUGACUUAUAAAGCGCGCCAUUUUGUUCGGAAAAACAAAACAAGUACAGAACGUGGUUAAUUUCAACUGGCCGGUUUGCAGUAGAAAUUGACGGUCAGAGCAUUCUCUGGCUGGAAGAAAUAGCUCCCGUUGAUCACCCGUUACCAUGAUAGUACUGGCAAUAGUUCAGGUAUUACACAAAAACAUAGAGUGCAUUUCAAAGAACAGCCGAGAAAAUCGAAUCGUGCCUCCGCAGCUUCUGGAAACGUCACGAAGAAAUGACCUAGUAGUACGUGAUUUAAUGAGUGUUUUUAAUGAGUGAGUGAACAAGUGAUAGUGAAAGUAAAAAAGUAAGUUUUUUUUAUUGUACAUUAAUAGCAUAAACGUUUGUUUUAUAAUGAUGUUUUAUUAAUAAAGUAAACAAAACACAAAAAA
Uranotaenia lowii is the source of this 975-nucleotide long non-coding RNA. RefSeq lists it as uncharacterized. The record is from RefSeq and is a predicted model, not a curated record. The transcript is spliced from 3 exons. NCBI's taxonomy places the organism in Eukaryota, Metazoa, Arthropoda, Insecta, Diptera, Culicidae.